AUUUAUGCGACUGAAUGUGGGGCUGAAAACCCUGAACACCUACGUUCAACGCAGUUGCGCAAACAUGUCGCAACUUUGUCUCAGAUCUUAAACCUCAAGAAUCACGAGUUAGACCAAGUUGCCAACUUCCUAGGUCAUGAUAUUCGUGUUCAUCGCGAAUAUUAUAGACUUCCAGAGGCUACUACCCAGCUUGCCAAAAUAUCCAAACUACUGAUUGCCAUGGAGAAAGGGUCUCUCAAAAGCCUUCAAGGCAAAACACUUGAAGAGAUUGAAAUCGAAGAUAACCUACAGUUGACAGAUUCAAGUGAAGAAAGUGAGGUCGGAGCGGAGCGUGAGGAGGUCGGAGCGGAGCGUGAGGAGGUCGGAGCGGAGCGUGAGGAGGUCGGAGCGGAGCGUGAGGAGGUCGGAGCGGAGCGUGAGGAGGUCGGAGCGGAGCGUGAGGAGGUCGGAGCGGAGCGUGAGGAGGUCGGAGCGGAGCGUGAGGAGGUCGGAGCGGAGCGUGAGGUCAAUGAAGGAAAUCUUGUAUAUCCACAGAUUGAUUCUAUAGAUACUAGAAUGAUGAAGAAAGUUGUCAAGGAACCUCCAGCACAAAGUAAAAAUGGAGCGGGUAAGGUCAUUGAACCCAACAGAAUACUAAACAAGGAGAUGAAGCCAAGCAGUAAGAAGAAAACAAAUGAACAAUCUGCUUCUCUGGAAAAUGCAAGGAGGGUCAAAAAGCAUCCUUGGUCUCCCACGGAGGUUGCUGCGAUAAUGAAGUAUUUUGGCGAACAUAUCAAAAAAGGAAAACUGGCCACUAUUAUCGAAUGCCAGCAAUGCAAAACUGCAGAAGAUCCUGCUCUGGCUGGUCGUUCUAUUCAAAACAUCAGAGAUUUUGUGAGGAAUCGGGGCGUGUCGUUGAAGAAAAAAGAAAAUCCUAUGUAGAGGAGUCUACAUAACUCCAAAGUACUUCUUGGAGGAGUUACAAAAGAUAUUUUGUAUGUUUUGGUUUCUCAUUUAUUUAUUUUAGAAUUUUACUAUUAGAAGAUUGGUAAAUUCAUUUUGUUGACACUGUUUUAGUGCAUCUGAUCUAAGAGGACAUAUAAUUUUAUAUUGCCAGUUAUUUUCAUUUCUGUUAACAAAACAAUCCUGUUUUUGUAAAAUGCACUCAAUUUGUUCCUUUUAUUCACCUGUUGCCCUUUUAAUACACACAAAAUACAUGUUUGUGUAUGUGUAUGGCCUUUGUCCUGUUAAUAAAGUUAGCCCUGACAAUUACUGUUCAUGUCAGGGGGAGGAGCCAAGUUA
This is a long non-coding RNA of Astatotilapia calliptera (eastern happy), 1281 nucleotides long. The record is from Ensembl. NCBI's taxonomy places the organism in Eukaryota, Metazoa, Chordata, Actinopteri, Cichliformes, Cichlidae.